RNAcentral lists this ribosomal RNA (253 nucleotides) under uncultured bacterium. Its description in RNAcentral is "partial 16S ribosomal RNA". It matches the Rfam family "Bacterial small subunit ribosomal RNA", at positions 524 to 776 of the family's 1533-position model. The record is from RNAcentral.
GACAUAGGUGCCAAGCGUUAGGCGGAAUCACUGGGCUUAAAGCGCGUGUAGGUGGCGGCCUAAGUCCCUUGUGAAAUCCUGCGGCUCAACCGCAGAACUGCUUGGUAUACUGGGUCGCUUGAGCCAUCCAGGGGCAACUGGAACAAGCGGUGGAGCGGUGAAAUGCGUAGAUAUCGCUUGGAACGCCAAAGGUGAAAACAGGUUGCUGGGGAUGCGCUGACACUGAGACGCGAAAGCCGGGGGAGCGAACGGG